RNAcentral lists this non-coding RNA (165 nucleotides) under Streptomyces pactum. RNAcentral's name for it is "SAM-I sequence". It matches the Rfam family "SAM riboswitch aptamer (S box leader)". From Rfam's summary of the family: The SAM riboswitch is found upstream of a number of genes which code for proteins involved in methionine or cysteine biosynthesis in Gram-positive bacteria. The SAM riboswitch acts at the level of transcription termination control. The record is from RNAcentral. RNAcentral also lists the same sequence under 1 other name. Lineage: Bacteria; Bacillati; Actinomycetota; Actinomycetes; Kitasatosporales; Streptomycetaceae.
CGCUCAUCCAGAGGGGCAGAGGGAUACGGCCCGUUGAAGCCCCGGCAACCCUCCAGUCGGUUCUUGUCGCACAUCGGUUUCUGUCACACCGGUACGGCGAGGCUCCCGACUAGGGAAGGUGCCAAAUCCGUCUCACGGCGAGAUGCGUCGUGAGGAAGAUGAGGA